CCAGAAAUCAGCCUUCAAGGACUUAGCCAAAUUUUCAGCUUUUUCACCGUUUUAGCUCCGUUUUCGCUCGUUUUCGCUCGUUUGACCUCCGAUUCAUUUCAAAUCGAACCGAUACUCUCCAAACAUGUUUUCGAACAUGUUUUCAUCAUCUUUUCAUCCACGCUAAUGCCGGAUUUAACUCACGGUCCAACAUAGCCUUUCGGCUCCGUUUUCGCGCCCUAUGCGCACCGAAGCACCCGAAUGCUCCCGAACU
RNAcentral lists this long non-coding RNA (253 nucleotides) under Ananas comosus (pineapple). RNAcentral describes it as "long non-coding RNA (ACOM_LNC027991)". Lineage: Eukaryota; Viridiplantae; Streptophyta; Magnoliopsida; Poales; Bromeliaceae. The record is from RNAcentral.